GACGAACGCUGGCGGCGUGCUUAACACAUGCAAGUCGAACGGUAAGGCCCUGCUUUUGUGGGGUGGUCGGGUGGCGAACGGGUGAGUAACACGACAGUAACCUGCCCUUGACUUUGGGAUAACUUCAGGACACUGGGGCUAAUACCGGAUAGGAGCUCCUGCUGCAUGGUGGGGGUUGGAAAGUUUCGGCGGUUGGGGAUGGAGUGGCGGGUUAUCAGCUUGUUGGUGGGGUAGUGGCUUACCAAGGCUUCGACGGGUGGCCGGCCUGAGAGGGUGACCGGCAACAUUGGGACUGAGAUGCGGCCCAGACUCCUACGGGAGGCAGCAGUGGGGAAUAUUGCACAAUGGGGGGAAGCCUGAUGCAGCAACGCCGCGUGCGGGAUGACGGCCUUCGGGUUGUAAAGCGCUUUCGCCUGUGACGAAGCGUGAUUGACGGUAAUGGGUAAAGAAGCACCGGCUAACUACGUG
RNAcentral lists this ribosomal RNA (468 nucleotides) under uncultured bacterium. RNAcentral's name for it is "partial 16S ribosomal RNA". It matches the Rfam family "Bacterial small subunit ribosomal RNA", at positions 28 to 507 of the family's 1533-position model. The record is from RNAcentral.